This 1864-nucleotide long non-coding RNA is filed under the name Fukomys damarensis (Damara mole-rat). RNAcentral's name for it is "lncRNA (ENSFDAG00000028532.1)". The record is from RNAcentral. Lineage: Eukaryota; Metazoa; Chordata; Mammalia; Rodentia; Bathyergidae.
UGCUGACACCCAAGUCUCAGUAUAUGAAGCCCAGCAUGAUGGACAUGAGAAGAGACUUGAAGUGCAGACAGCAGUAAGCUUGUGGGCCUUACAGAAAGCACAGGCUUGAUUGGAAAUGAGUGUGCUCUUAGGCCUGCCUCGAGAUUAGCCUAAAAAAGUACCAGUGCGCACAUCUGAAUGGAUGGGCAGUAGACAGAUGAAUAGUUGAGAGCCAAUUUAGCUGAAGUAUAGGGGUUGGUAGCAUUGAGGCUGCAAAGAUAAUAUGGAGCUGAUUGUAAAGGGUCUUGAAUACCCGUUUUUAGAGCUUGGAUUUACCCUGUCCUGGAGUGUAAGGAAGUAUGACAAGGGGCAGCCAGGAAGUGAAAUUAUUGGUGGGAUGCUUUAAAAGAUGAGCAUGGCCCGGUGCUAGAAAGAACUGAGGUACAGAGGCCAGAGGGUUGCCGAGCAAGCCUGCCUAGGUCACAAAGAGCACUGUGCACGCGGGGCUCACCAGGUGUCGUCCUAAGAGCUCAGCGACAUUCACUUAUGGAGUUCUCACAUGCAGCAAGCAGAUGGCAGCUGAGAGUUUCAUCUGUCCGCAGAAACUCGAAUCCACCACGACUCCUGCGUUCUGACCCGUGGAGAUUCACUGUACAACUGGACCUCUAGAGGCUUAGCACCGUAUCUGAUGCGCGGUCGCUCUCCGUCCACACGGAAUGCAUGAGUUGGAGAAAGGAGCGAACGCGUGGUGGAAGAGAUGCUGGAAGAGUGGCUGACUGGACCAGGAAGCACAACAGAGACAGCCCUUCUCACACGCAGAGGGAGACCCCAGAGAGCAGUAAUUCUGUGCACGCCAAGCCCUAGAACCUCAGCUGCCCACCCUUUGCCCGAAGAACUGAAGUGCAGGGUCACCGCUAAGCGGUUCCUUUCACUGUCUGCCAAUCUAUCAAGAUUCAGCUACCGCUGUGACCCCAUCAACUCCACGGAGGGGAAGAAAGGGACCCCUCACCACAGCAAUUAUUUACCGCAGCCUGACCUUUCCCAGUUCCACAGAAGUAGCAGUUGGGAAAACCUUGGUGGGCAGGAGUUUUUCACACCCUCCCUCCUUUUAACAAGCACACAGGUGGGGGGAGCUGCAAGCUCUCUCGUGCAAAAUUUUGCUUUACAGAAAGAUCUUUGGGCGGUCCAUAAGCUAGGAUAGCCCAGCUUGCCUCUUGGAUUUAAACAAGAACUGUUCUGCACCAGGACCUGGAGAGAUCCAACACCGUCAACUCCAAAGAUGUGUGUGUGUGUGUGUGUGUGUGUGUGUGUGUGUGUGUGUGUCCCCAACUUGGAAGAAAAUCCAGACUAUAAUAAGGGCCAUGCAGGGUGUAACUCCCUGUGUAAAUUUAAAGUGACCUAAGGGACAUAAUUAUAUAAAUCUCAUCAUGAGACAAUAUACUUUUUAUUUGUUUGAAUUUUAUUUGUAUUGGUAAAACUGACCUGAAACUGACACAAGUUUAUUAGAAAAAGGACUCUGUAAAAGCGAGUGGGCUGGUCUUCUUAUUUAAGAUGGAUGUGCCAACUUCUAGUAUGAUUAGAGAAAUGGAUAACUCACUAACAUCUGUGCAAACUACAAUAAAAAGGGAUUUAGUGUUACCCCAAGGAAGGCAAGAGAGGCUGUCUGUCCAUUAAACGCUUUAUUACAGUGCCGGCAGCUUUGUUCUAAUUCAGUUAUUCCUGCACGGCGUUCAGCACUCUGACUGCCUGUCAACCCAGCAGACAGUGCUCGGGGCUGGGAGGUUUUGUGCAAGGUAGGUGACAAUCAAAUGAGCCACUGAGAAGAGAGGGGUGCCUGACCCUCGUGAAGGAUUAACUACAGAAAGUGAGUGUGAUCAUGUCACAC